Molecule: ribosomal RNA, 460 nt
Filed under: uncultured bacterium
Lineage: Bacteria
Description: partial 16S ribosomal RNA
Rfam family: Bacterial small subunit ribosomal RNA
Source: RNAcentral
CCUACGGGAGGCAGCAGUGAGGAAUAUUGGUCAAUGGGCGCUAGCCUGAACCAGCCAAGUAGCGUGAAGGAUGACUGCCCUAUGGGUUGUAAACUUCUUUUAUAUGGGAAUAAAGUGCAGUAUGUAUACUGCUUUGCAUGUACCUUAUGAAUAAGGAUCGGCUAACUCCGUGCCAGCAGCCGCGAUAAUACGGAGGAUUCGAGCGUUAUCCGGAUUUAUUGGGUUUAAAGGGAGCGUAGGCGGGUUGUUAAGUCAGUUGUGAAAGUUUGCGGCUCAACCGUAAAAUUGCAGUUGAUACUGGCAGCCUUGAGUACAGUAGAGGUAGGCGGAAUUCGUGGUGUAGCGGUGAAAUGCUUAGAUAUCACGAAGAACUCCGAUUGCGAAGGCAGCCUGCUGGACUGUAACUGACGCUGAUGCUCGAAAGUGUGGGUAUCAAACAGGAUUAGAUACCCGAGUAGUC